GAAACAUUGACUUAUUUAGAUGGCUUGCCUCACAUCCUCUCAGUCCUCCUGCUACUCAGCAAUUCCUGCAGCAAACAAACUGCUCUGUGUGAGUUUAACCAAACAGCAUGUGGUGUUAGCUACAUUCCAUGCCCUCGUUUCAUGUCCUGGAGCUUUUCUAACAUGGGAGCACCCAGGAGUGACAGGCAGUUGACCUCCUUUGUGCCACUGAUGGAUAUUAUGGGAUGGGAGCUGUCAGUUAAAUUCUCCCCACUUCUACCCCUAGGACACAUUAUUCUGAGGCACAACUACGAUAAGCAUUAUCAUUCUCUUCACCUGGAAGAAGUUGUAGAGGUUCCAUCUCAGAAGACCAGAAACAGCAUGAUAAAGCAUGGACUUCCUCAAGAAGAAGAAAUCACAUUUAGAGCUGUUGAAUUUAGAACAAGGCAGAAGGAGAUGGUCAAACUAGUUUGUUCUACACCUUGUUCCAACAUCUUUUCAAGAGAAAAAUCACUGGCCCUAAUGGAAGGAUGUUUAUGUAACUAACAUAAAGAGAUGUCAUAAUCACCAAUUAGAAAGAGAGAAUGCAGAUGAGAAUCAGAGCAAUGCUCAGUGCUCACUGAAUCUAUAUUAUAGCAGGCUAAUGUUAGUCUAAGGCUGACUCUAUGUGCAAUGACUUAAAAAAUAUUAUUUUAGAGUUCUUCAGAAGACUUAACAGUGCUUUUGGCAUUUAUUCCAUUACAAUGUGCUAGACAGACAUGAUAAUUUGUAGUGAUACAAUUGUUCAAUACAGGUAACUUAUUUUACCAAGCUUUUCUUCUUUUUUUCAAAUCAAGAUGGUUAAACUGUUAUAGUAGGUAGCUAGUCAGACAUGAACAGGGCAAGAGAAGGCUCCCCUCACACAUACACAGCGGGAACACCAGGCGACCAGCAGAUGAUGGUCAGGCAGUUGUUAACUGAGUCUCUAAAACAAUAAUUGGUCACAGCCAGUACCAGGGGAGGGCAGUCUCCCCAUAGAUAGAAAACACCUGAAACUAGUGAUCAGCAGCUUCCCAAUAAGAUCUCAGAAGUUGGGUGAGCGGGCUCAAGCAUGCACAUUAAAAUGGCAGAAUUUAAUCAGCAAAUGACCUUCCAGGAACAUUUGACUGGUAAAAGAAGAACGCCUCAAGUGAGCAUGUGUGCAACUCCAGUAAACACACUGUACA
RNAcentral lists this long non-coding RNA (1184 nucleotides) under Homo sapiens (human). RNAcentral describes it as "HSALNT0073651". Lineage: Eukaryota; Metazoa; Chordata; Mammalia; Primates; Hominidae. The record is from RNAcentral.